RNAcentral lists this unclassified non-coding RNA (597 nucleotides) under Hevea brasiliensis (rubber tree). Lineage: Eukaryota; Viridiplantae; Streptophyta; Magnoliopsida; Malpighiales; Euphorbiaceae. The record is from RNAcentral.
UUCAAUCUAAUAGGCUCCUUCAGAGGGCUCUGUCUAUCUUCAAGCUCUUCCUCUUCCUUUUUCAGGGGCGAUUUAGGGUCCUUCAAUGUGGCCCCUUCCAGAAGCUCCGUUUCCUUGCCUUUAAAGGCUCCGUUUCCAUUGACGAUUGAAAUGGCUCACAAGAAGGGAGCUGGGAGUACCAAGAACGGGCGUGACUCCAGAGGCCAACGUCUCGGCGUCAAGAUUUUCGGCGAUCAACUGGCUAAACCCGGCGCGAUUAUCGUCCGCCAGCGCGGCACCAAGUUUCAUCCGGGGAAGAAUGUGGGGCUUGGCAAGGAUCACACUAUUUUUUCCUUGAUUGACGGACUUGUAAAAUUUGAGAAGUUAGGACCUGACAAGAAGAAGGUGAGUGUUUAUCCACGAGAAGUUCAGCCUGAGAAUCCCAACAGCUAUCGAGCACGGAAGAGAGAGUACUUUAGGUUGCAGCGCGAACGUAAGAAGGCAAGAAAGGAAGGCAUUGUUCCGGAGCCGCAACUCGUCCUUGCUUCCAAUGUUGAUGCCACAAAUAACAACCCUAUAUGUUGAUUUGAAAGCAGCCUUAUUUUUUAGGGUAUUUUU